RNAcentral lists this ribosomal RNA (298 nucleotides) under Escherichia coli. Its description in RNAcentral is "partial 23S ribosomal RNA". It matches the Rfam family "Bacterial large subunit ribosomal RNA", at positions 606 to 906 of the family's 2925-position model. Lineage: Bacteria; Pseudomonadati; Pseudomonadota; Gammaproteobacteria; Enterobacterales; Enterobacteriaceae. The record is from RNAcentral.
UUUUGUAUAAUGGGUCAGCGACUUAUAUUCUGUAGCAAGGUUAACCGAAUAGGGGAGCCGAAGGGAAACCGAGUCUUAACUGGGCGUUAAGUUGCAGGGUAUAGACCCGAAACCCGGUGAUCUAGCCAUGGGCAGGUUGAAGGUUGGGUAACACUAACUGGAGGACCGAACCGACUAAUGUUGAAAAAUUAGCGGAUGACUUGUGGCUGGGGGUGAAAGGCCAAUCAAACCGGGAGAUAGCUGGUUCUCCCCGAAAGCUAUUUAGGUAGCGCCUCGUGAAUUCAUCUCCGGGGGUAGA